GUUGAAACAACUCUAAAAUAGCUAUUCUGUCAUCGUUUUUAGUGAUACAAUAUAACACUCGGCGGAGUUGAUUCAACUCCUUGAAAUUUACAGUGUAUAUGCAAAGAAAACUUGCACUGACAGCGCGGUAAUCGUUGUGUAUUUAGUGUCAAAAUGUUAUGUUUUAAGUAUAUGUAUCAUGAAAUUUUUGCAGACUCGACGCUUGUAUGGAUAAUACAGAAUAGACUAUCUCUAUAAAGCGACUAAGCCUAUGGCAAGAUAUUCGCACUGAAAGCGAUUAGCCAAUUACUGCGUAGGUGGUAUUCUUUGUCAAACCGCAAGUGUUUUUCUCAAAUUAUCAGGUUCCGUUGGCGUCAAGUCGGCAUUUCUUAAAUUAAACAACAGACUUGAGAGAAUUAUAACUGACCCGCUAUACUUAUCCAGUAAUGGCGAAGUGAAUCUUUUUUCUCGCGAAACAAAUACGGCCGCUACUACCCACAAGUAUUUAAGUCACAAGUUUGCUUGGGCGAGAUGACGCCACUUUGAUCACAGUAACUUUGAUGGUGUAAACCGGCCUUUACAUAGUAGGUGUAUGAUUAUUAGUCGGUGGGCAUAUGAUGUAAGACGUCAUUGGGUGAACAGCGUUUUGAUGUAUAAAAUUCUUAAUGAGCAGUCCGCUCCAAGUCUUAGAGAAAAAUUUAUAAAAAUUAAACAUCUUAAUAGAGAAUAUAAUCUUCGAAGUAAUGAUACUGAUUUAGCACUCCAAAACCUAAAACAAACUAUCUUAAACGAAUUUUUAAGUAUAGUUUGGUUUCAAAGUUUGUUUUCCGCGUUUUACCCUCUUUUCCGCGUUUUACCCUUUUUUCCGCGUUUUACCCUCUUUUCCGCGUUUUACCCUUUUUUCCGCGUUUUACCCUCUUUUCCGUGUUUUACCCUCUAUUCCGCGUUUUACCCUCUAUUCCGCGUUUUACCCUCUUUUCCGCGUUUUACCCUCUUUUCCGCGUUUUACCCUCUAUUCCGUUUCCGCUUUUCCGGUUCCGCCAGUCCGUUCCGUUCCGUUUCCGCGUUUUACCCCUACCCCCUGACACUAAUCGUUUAAAGACUUAAAGGUGACAUUGACGCACAACAUUUUGUUGUCCCAUCUGGCAAACAGAUUACUUUUAAUGACGAUUCGAGUGUCCCUAUAUGUCGUGUGUCGUGGGUUAAAAGUCGUGUGUAAAGCCAUGGGUCAUAAAAUGUGCUAAAACGAAGAUAUUAUUUUUAUUUUUAAUAUUUUUUUCG
This is a non-coding RNA of Paramuricea clavata, 1260 nucleotides long. NCBI's taxonomy places the organism in Eukaryota, Metazoa, Cnidaria, Anthozoa, Malacalcyonacea, Plexauridae. The record is from the annotation of a GenBank genome assembly.